This is a non-coding RNA of Caenorhabditis elegans, 21 nucleotides long. The record is from Ensembl. NCBI's taxonomy places the organism in Eukaryota, Metazoa, Nematoda, Chromadorea, Rhabditida, Rhabditidae.
UGCCACAACAGCUCAGGGAAA